GAGUUUGAUCAUGGCUCAGAGCGAACGCUGGCGGCAGGCCUAACACAUGCAAGUCGAGCGCCGUAGCAAUACGGAGCGGCAGACGGGAGAGUAACACGUGGGAACGUACCCUUUGGUUCGGAACAACCCAGGGAAACUUGGGCUAAUACCGGAUAAGCCCUUACGGGGAAAGAUUUAUCGCCGAAGGAUCGGCCCGCGUCUGAUUAGCUUGUUGGUGAGGUAAUGGCUCACCAAGGCGACGAUCAGUAGCUGGUCUGAGAGGAUGAUCAGCCUCACUGGGACUGAGACACGGCCCAGACUCCUACGGGAGGCAGCAGUGGGGAAUAUUGGACAAAUGGGCGCAAGCCUGAUCCAGCCAUGCCGCGUGGGUGAUGAAGGCCCUAGGGUUGUAAAGCCCUUUUCGGCGGGGAAGAUAAUGACGGUACCCGUAGAAGAAGCCCCGGCUAACUUCGUGCCAGCCGCCGCCGU
RNAcentral lists this ribosomal RNA (468 nucleotides) under uncultured Alphaproteobacteria bacterium. RNAcentral describes it as "bacterial SSU rRNA". It matches the Rfam family "Bacterial small subunit ribosomal RNA", at positions 9 to 521 of the family's 1533-position model. Lineage: Bacteria; Pseudomonadati; Pseudomonadota; Alphaproteobacteria. The record is from RNAcentral.